GAUAAACGCUGGCGGCGUGCAUAACACAUGCAAGUCGAACGAUGAAACUGAGCUGAUUUCUUCGGAAUGAAAUUAAGUGGAUUAGUGGCGAACGGGUGAGUAACACGUGAGUAACCUGCCUUACACAAGGGGAUAGCCUUUGGAAACGAAGAAUAAUACCCUAUGACGUCAAAAUAUCGCAUGAUAUAGUGACCAAAGAUUUAUCGGUGUAAGAUGGACUUGCGUCUGAUUAGCUAGUUGGUGAGAUAAAAGCCCACCAAGGCGACGAUCAGUAGCCGGCUUGAGAGAGUGUACGGCCACAUUGGGACUGAGACACGGCCCAAACUCCUACGGGAGGCAGCAGUGGGGAAUUUUGCACCAUGGGGGAAACCCUGAUGCAGCGACGCCGCGUGAUUUAGAAGGCCUUCGGGUUGUAAAAAUCUUUUUUAUGGGAUGAAAAUGACAGUACCAUAAGAAUAAGGUCCGGCUAAAUACGUGCCAGCAGCCGCGGUAAUACGUAUGGACCGAGCGUUGUCCGGAAUCAUUGGGCGUAAAGGGUACGUAGGCGGCCUAGUAAGUUAGAAGUGAAAUAAUAUAGCUCAACUAUAUAAAGCUUUUAAAACUGUUAGGCUUGAGAGAUGAAAGGGAAAGUGGAAUUCCUAGUGUAGCGGUGAAAUGCGCAGAUAUUAGGAAGAAUACCGGUGGCGAAGGCGACUUUCUGGUCAUCAUCUGACGCUGAGGUACGAAAGCGUGGGUAGCAAACAGG
This 745-nucleotide ribosomal RNA is filed under the name uncultured Anaerococcus sp. RNAcentral's name for it is "bacterial SSU rRNA". It matches the Rfam family "Bacterial small subunit ribosomal RNA", at positions 28 to 776 of the family's 1533-position model. The record is from RNAcentral. Lineage: Bacteria; Bacillati; Bacillota; Tissierellia; Tissierellales; Peptoniphilaceae.